CAAGUAGGCAGAGAGGCAGGCAGAGAGAGAGAGAGGGGAAAGCAGGCUUCCUGCUGAGCAGAGAGCCCGAUGCGGGGCUCAAUCCCAGGACCUUGGGAUCAUGACCCAAGCCAAAGGCAGAGGCUUUAACCCACUGAGCCACUAAGGCACCCCUUUUCAGUAGAAUCUUAAGACACUUUUGUUCUCAUUCAGGUUGGAUCCCCAACUUUCUGGAGUCGACACCAGCCCAGGCUGGAAUUCUUCAUGCCUUUAGAUUGCUGCAGUGUCCCACCAACACCCCCCAGAGGAGGCAAGGGCCACUCCGGGGUCUGCUGCCUCUUUAAGGUGAAUGCUGAAUGCUGUGUUCACGUUUUCCAUGCAGAAACCCUAAUGGUGCCCCUGCAGCCACAACUAAUGGGCUCUGCUCCACAAUGUGAGACCCACAUGCUUAAGUAAAGGAUCAAAGGGCAGGGGAAGGUAGAGCCUGGACCCCUCCAAUAGGUUCCGAACCAUCCCUUGAUGUCCCCACCCCACCCAUGUCUUCAGAAUCUAUGGAUUGAGCAGCACUGUUUGUCUGUCUGUCUUUCACUUUCCAUCUGUUGCCCUGACCUAAUGCUUCAUUUUUGAGUGGUAGCUUCAUUCCAGGCUAACGCUUUCAGAAGAACUUGAGUCCCAAGCUCCUUUCCCCCAGUCAGCUCAAAAGAGCAAAUGGCCCCUAGGGGUUAUAGAAAGUAUUUUCUGCCCUUUUCUUUUACUUACCAGAAUUUACCUGAAUGUGAAUAAAUUAUGUGCAAAAUCGCUUCUAUUAUGCAAUAGAUGUUCAGUCCAAUAAGUUAAAACAAAAAUUAAUAGAACAAAUUGAACUUAAAAAAAAAUUUUUUACUGGGCCUCCUCAGAAGGGCCCCAGGGGAUCUUUGUCCCCAUCUGCACUCCCUCUGCUUUAUCCUACCCACCCCCAAUGACCCCAUCUGCCCCCAGCCCUUUCCGUUUAAUACACACAUUCACCAGGGCACCUGGGUGGCUCAGUCAGUUAAGCAUCUGACUCUUGAUUUCAGCUCAGGUCAUGAGAUCAAGCCCCAAGUUGAGCUCCACAAUGGGCAUGAAGCCUGCUUGAGAUUCUCCCUCUCCCUUUGCCCCUCCCCACCCAUGCCCAAUUGUGUGCUCUCUCUCUCUCUAAAAUAAAACAAAACAAAACACCCCACAAGCAUUAACCAAAUGGGUAACUGUUGGAUAGAUGGUGACCAGGGGAGAAGGCAAAGCAGCGAAAUAAGGAAGGGAGUGUCCCUAAAGCAACCAUUGAUGGCCCUACAACAGCAUUUAGAGGUGGCUCAGUCCUGCUCACUGUCUGAAACAAAUUCAUGCUGAGGAAGAUGCUUCUCAAAUGCAAGCUCGAGUCCCUUGCAACUCAGAAGAACUAGAACGUUGUACUCAGAAAUGUUGCCGACCUAUCUGGAGCUCCAGUGAGGUUGCCCUCAAGAGACUAAACUAUAGUAGUUGGCACAGAGUUCAGCCGCGACUUCAAAGCCAUUUGAAAGACGAUCGCCCCCCAAGCCUGCAAGAGGGUAGCUGAACGGACAUUAAUCAGAGCUAAAGAAAUCACGUGAACAUCAGGAGGUUGAAGUGUAGAAAACUGAGUCACCAGGGGGCAAAUGCUGGGUUCUUGCAAGUGUUGUCCAGGGGAAAGAUACCCGCCCCUUCUAUUGGCGGGGCGGGUCCUAUCAUGUCCGUGGAAGCAUCGGGCUCUCUUAGCCUGGUGCCAUUAAGCACUGGAUUUAUCUGAACGGCUCUUCUCUGUCUUCCUGCUCUUCAGGCAAUCUCUGAUUAUUAUCUGACUUCCUCUACCAUGCUGCCUACGGAAAUGGAUCUGCUACCAGGACUUUGAGCAUUCCAUUACAUAUAGUGGUUUAAAAAAAAAAAUUUUUUUUCUGAUUAGAAAUGAACAAAAUGGCAUUCUGACCACUGUAUUCCUUGGCUUCCCCUGCAGGUUGGCAACUGGGGGAGAAAGGACUGGUUAUGUAAUUUACGAGUUCCUGAUCCUGGGAGGUAUUUCUCAUUGCAAGUGAAAAAGCUGGCCUUCCAGUUUUGGGGGCUUAGGGGCUGCGAGUCUGUCCCUGAGGAGGUUCACAUACUCAGGGAGCACUUGGGUUUCUGAGCAUGGAAGGGGGAAGGCCCUCCUGACUUUGGAAUGUGGAAAGUUCCCCUUGGUAAAGGACACAGCCACCGAGCCUUGUUUCCUAUGUGAUAAGCACAUAUGCUUCUAGCUGCAGUGAUUUUUACCAUUUUUAGGCAAAGAUAGAAUGCUUGAUUCAUAAUGUAGGAUACAGUGCUUACCGGGCACGGCCCAGUCAACACUAACAUUUAGGCUCCUGGAACAAAAAUGCAGCGUUGUCUCCCUCAUAGGCAUCCUUUGAAAAGCUCUCCACAAAAUAAACGUUUUGAAAUUUCAACCUAAUUAAGAUCCCGGUGUGGAUGCAUUUAUCAGGCCCAUGAACUAAGGAGGGGAGGGAGGAAGGCAAACGAAUGAUCGCAGCCCCACACAGCCCCUCCCGUUCCCCUCCAAGCAAGAGGCAAGAUGAGACGGGCGCCAAAAGAUGAGAAGAAUUUCCAUCCUGUUUGGAUUACGCAGAGAUGCUUUUAGAGGACGCUUAGUAAGAAAACAGAAGCGGUAGAAAAUGCACAAUUGCCUAUUUGCUUCUGCUUUGGAUACCCAUUUAUAGACCCUCAGAGCCACGUCCCAAGAAGGCAGGAUUUCCAGGCUGAAGCGAGCAGAGGCAGGGACUUUGAAAAUGGACCGGCGGGGAUCCUGUGUAGUGAUAAUGGCUGCGGUUUCCAUGGUGAUCACAAGCACAGCUCAGAUUCACCUGUACACCCUGUCUCUCUGCUCCUUUUGUUCGGAGCAAACUACCAUCACACAGCGAAAGAUCGCACUGUUAGCAAGGCAAAGGCAUUUUCCUGAACUGGAUGCCAGCAGUCUGGGCUCUAGGUACAGAGCUUUUGUUCCGUAAUGAAUCUGCCACUUCCCAGGCGCCUUGUUGUUAGCGUAACAAGGAGGGAGCUGGAGAAAAAAAUAUGGGUCUAAAAAUGCUUGGAUCUCACCUGGGCCAAAUUUGUCUGAGAAAGAGACUGAGUCUUGAAUUCUCAAAUCUAGUGAGUCCCAGACCCUAGUAGGUCCCAGACUCCAUAAAACUCUGCAAAAUGCAAAUCCAGGUCCCGCCCCGGGGAAGUGGAUUUAGUAGGUCUGAGAGAGGGUCCAGGACCGGAAUUUUUAAGUUACCCCAGCUGACUGAGAUGCAGAUGGUCCGCAGACCACAGACCACACUGUUCUGGAUAUUUGAGGACAGUCUCCCCUUCAUGGAGGAUCAAGAUUUUAAAGAGAAAUGUUGACUUUCAGGGGAUUUCCUCCACAAGGAAUCCACAUGUGGCUUCUAGUCAGGUGGCAGAGGGGCUGUAGAAUAGGCCUGGGCUUUAAAAGGCUUGCUUUGGGGGCUCGGUUUAUUAUAAUCCCACAGCAGGGCCCCCUCAGAGUGGCGUCCAGCUCCUGCCUGCUGUGACAUCUGGAGAGAAGACGAGGAACCGCUCUCCUGCAGCACCUGGAGGGGCUUCCAAGAACAGGCAGGGGGAGCGGUUACCUGCAAGUUCAGAGAUCAGAUACAGAAUUCCCCCCAAGCACCUGCUUCCAACGGCCUUGGAGAAGAGCUUGGUGCACCCCAGAAAGCUUCCCACAGAGCCAGCACUUAAGGAGGUGGCUCAUGAGAAGCCCCAGCCACGCAGGGGAGGUGACCACUGUGUUGCUGACACUCUGUGGCUUUUCCCGUUUUCACAGAAUGAGAAGAAAAGGACAAGUUUCCAACGGGACGAUAAUUAGAAAUAAAGUAAC
Molecule: long non-coding RNA, 3856 nt
Organism: Mustela lutreola (European mink)
Lineage: Eukaryota; Metazoa; Chordata; Mammalia; Carnivora; Mustelidae
Exons: 3
Source: RefSeq, a predicted model, not a curated record